Non-coding RNA from Chelonoidis abingdonii (Abingdon island giant tortoise), 89 nucleotides. The record is from RefSeq and is a predicted model, not a curated record. Lineage: Eukaryota; Metazoa; Chordata; Testudines; Testudinidae.
AGAAUAAGGGAAGUCGACUGGAGAGUCUAUCCCGUCGAUGCAGCACAGUAAAGACACUGCAGUAAGUCAACCUAAGCUGUUGAUGCCAG